UGCUUCGAUGGAACGUAAGCGCAGAGUU
RNAcentral lists this small RNA (28 nucleotides) under Bombyx mori (domestic silkworm). Its description in RNAcentral is "ovarian small RNA-8643". The record is from RNAcentral. Lineage: Eukaryota; Metazoa; Arthropoda; Insecta; Lepidoptera; Bombycidae.